This 559-nucleotide unclassified non-coding RNA is filed under the name Fusarium proliferatum. Its description in RNAcentral is "sequence contains 18S rRNA gene, ITS1, 5.8S rRNA gene, ITS2, 28S rRNA gene". The stretch from base 192 to 345 matches the Rfam family "5.8S ribosomal RNA". The record is from RNAcentral. Lineage: Eukaryota; Fungi; Ascomycota; Sordariomycetes; Hypocreales; Nectriaceae.
UCGUAACAAGGUCUCCGUUGGUGAACCAGCGGAGGGAUCAUUACCGAGUUUACAACUCCCAAACCCCUGUGAACAUACCAAUUGUUGCCUCGGCGGAUCAGCCCGCUCCCGGUAAAACGGGACGGCCCGCCAGAGGACCCCUAAACUCUGUUUCUAUAUGUAACUUCUGAGUAAAACCAUAAAUAAAUCAAAACUUUCAACAACGGAUCUCUUGGUUCUGGCAUCGAUGAAGAACGCAGCAAAAUGCGAUAAGUAAUGUGAAUUGCAGAAUUCAGUGAAUCAUCGAAUCUUUGAACGCACAUUGCGCCCGCCAGUAUUCUGGCGGGCAUGCCUGUUCGAGCGUCAUUUCAACCCUCAAGCCCCCGGGUUUGGUGUUGGGGAUCGGCGAGCCCUUGCGGCAAGCCGGCCCCGAAAUCUAGUGGCGGUCUCGCUGCAGCUUCCAUUGCGUAGUAGUAAAACCCUCGCAACUGGUACGCGGCGCGGCCAAGCCGUUAAACCCCCAACUUCUGAAUGUUGACCUCGGAUCAGGUAGGAAUACCCGCUGAACUUAAGCAUAUCA